This 463-nucleotide ribosomal RNA is filed under the name uncultured bacterium. RNAcentral describes it as "partial 16S ribosomal RNA". It matches the Rfam family "Bacterial small subunit ribosomal RNA", at positions 28 to 507 of the family's 1533-position model. The record is from RNAcentral.
GACGAACGCUGGCGGCGUGCUUAACACAUGCAAGUCGAACGGAAAGGCCUUUUCGGAGGUACUCGAGUGGCGAACGGGUGAGUAACACGUGGGUGAUCUGCCCUGCACUCUGGGAUAAGCCUGGGAAACUGGGUCUAAUACCGGAUAGGACCGCACUUUAGUGUGUGUGGUGGAAAGUUUUUUCGGUGUAGGAUGAGCCCGCGGCCUAUCAGCUUGUUGGUGGGGUAAUGGCCUACCAAGGCGGCGACGGGUAGCCGGGCUGAGGGGUUGGUCGGCCACAUUGGGGCUGAGAAUCGGGCCAGACUCCUACGGGAGGCAGCAGGGGGGAAUAUUGCACAAUGGGCGCAAGCCUGAUGCAGCGACGCCGCGUGGGGGAUGACGGCCUUCGGGUUGUAAACUCCUUUCGCCAGGGACGAAGCGUUUUGUGACGGUACCUGGAGAAGAAGCACCGGCUAACUACGUG